ACCAGACUCCUACGGGAGGCAGCAGUGGGGGAUAUUGCACAAUGGGGGGAACCCUGAUGCAGCGACGCCGCGUGGGUGAAGAAGUAUUUCGGUAUGUAAAGCCCUAUCGGCAGGGAAGAAAUUGGACGGUACCUGACUAAGAAGCCCCGGCUAACUACGUGCCAGCAGCCGCGGUAAUACGUAGGGGGCAAGCGUUAUCCGGAUUCACUGGGUGUAAAGGGAGCGUAGACGGCCAUGCAAGCCUGGAGUGAAAGCCCGGGGCCCAACCCCGGGACUGCUCUGGGAACUGUGCGGCUGGAGUGCGGGAGGGGCAGGCGGAAUUCCUGGUGUAGCGGUGAAAUGCGUAGAUAUCAGGAGGAACCCCGGCGGCGAAGGCGGCCUGCUGGACCGCGACUGACGUUGAGGCUCGAAAGCGUGGGGAGCAAACAGGAUUAGAUACCCCGGUAG
Molecule: ribosomal RNA, 447 nt
Filed under: uncultured bacterium
Lineage: Bacteria
Description: bacterial SSU rRNA
Rfam family: Bacterial small subunit ribosomal RNA
Source: RNAcentral